UACGUAGGGCGCAAGCGUUGUCCGGAAUCAUUGGGCGUAAAGAGCUCGUAGGCGGCCUGUUGCGUCCGCUGUGAAAACCCAGGGCUUAACCCUGGGCUGGCAGUGGAUACGGGCAGACUAGAGGUAGGUAGGGGAGAAUGGAAUUCCCGGUGUAGCGGUGAAAUGCGCAGAUAUCGGGAGGAACACCGGUGGCGAAGGCGGUUCUCUGGGCCUUACCUGACACUGAGGAGCGAAAGCGUGGGGAGCGAACAGG
This 253-nucleotide ribosomal RNA is filed under the name uncultured bacterium. RNAcentral's name for it is "partial 16S ribosomal RNA". It matches the Rfam family "Bacterial small subunit ribosomal RNA", at positions 524 to 776 of the family's 1533-position model. The record is from RNAcentral.